UUUUUCCGCAAUGGGCGAAAGCCUGACGGAGCAAUACCGCGUGAGGGAGGAAGGCUCUUGGGUUGUAAACCUCUUUUCUCAGGGAAGAAAAAAAUGACGGUACCUGAGGAAUAAGCAUCGGCUAACUCCGUGCCAGCAGCCGCGGUAAUACGGAGGAUGCAAGCGUUAUCCGGAAUGAUUGGGCGUAAAGGGUCCGCAGGUGGCAUUGUAAGUCUGCUGUUAAAGAGUUUGGCUCAACCAAAUCAAAGCAGUGGAAACUACAAAGCUAGAGUAUGGUCGGGGCAGAGGGAAUUCCUGGUGUAGCGGUGAAAUGCGUAGAUAUCAGGAAGAAC
This 332-nucleotide ribosomal RNA is filed under the name uncultured cyanobacterium. Its description in RNAcentral is "bacterial SSU rRNA". It matches the Rfam family "Bacterial small subunit ribosomal RNA", at positions 361 to 707 of the family's 1533-position model. Lineage: Bacteria; Bacillati; Cyanobacteriota. The record is from RNAcentral.